UUCAUUAUGUGUUUCAUCAAUUCAUUACACAUUUCUCUUGUAUCAAGUUUCAAUCUCUUUUUUCUUCCCCCGAAGAUUCUAAUUGUUGCAGUAACUCUAAUACCAGGUCUAUGUCUCCACAGUUCAUGCAUACAGCUAUCCUGUGACUGCCUUCCAAUGGCAUCCUGAGGUAUUACUGUAAUAUCGUUCAGUCUUGUCUUAAACUGUUACUAUUAAUUUCAAAUUUAGCAAUACAAGCAAACAGCACAGUAAAACAAUGCUUGAAAAUGGAAACAUCUUGAGGCUCUUAUUUGAAUAGGUGUCAUCAAGGAUCUCUGCUAUAAGAGUAUAACUGUAUAACUCACAACCUUGUGAAGGAUAAGCUGUUGUUGUGGAAUCAUGAACAAAUGGAUUUUGCUUUAUUAUCCAUCUUUAUAUGAAAGAUUUAAGACAAAGACCACAAUAACUAUUUCCACUUAAGACAUUUGUAAUGUUAAUAUAUUUGGGGUCUAAGAAAUUUUUUUGAUAAUUAUUUCCAUAAACUUGUAAAAGGAUUUGCAUUGCACAAAAAUAUUUAGGCACAUUCUACAGAUUAAGUGAAGAAUGGUAAAUUAAGAAAAAUUGAAAAGCAAAAAGACUAGAGUUUGCAUAGAAAAAAGGUCAUCUAGGACUGGGUGUAUUGUACCUAUUGCCAAUUCCAAUGGAUCUGUUUCUAAUUGUGAAGACUAACCAAAUGCAAUGCAGAAAAAUGCUUUUGAAUGGGGCUCACCAAUGAUUCCGCACUCAGAAGAUGCCAUUCAAGUGACCCAGCAUGUCGCAAACUUUUUGGUCAGGUUAGCGCUGAUGCUUUAUCCUUCUGUAUCUGUUUCUUUUAGCUCCAAGUGAACCACUAUGGUUUUUUAAUUGAACUUUGGCUGAAAUGUUGAGGAGCACUAAGAAAAACUCUUUGGGAGCGCGAAGAUGUUGCAAAGUUAGGCUCAGAGAAUCACAUUAUUCCUUUAUUCAACAUGCGGAUAUUAUGUCUAACAACAUGCGGAUAUUAUGC
RNAcentral lists this long non-coding RNA (1024 nucleotides) under Prunus persica (peach). Its description in RNAcentral is "long non-coding RNA (PPER_LNC004121)". Lineage: Eukaryota; Viridiplantae; Streptophyta; Magnoliopsida; Rosales; Rosaceae. The record is from RNAcentral.